UUAAGUAGUGAACGUACUUUCUUGCUUACUUUGUUCAAUACAGAUUUCUCCAUUUCUGUCUGCAGAAAACCUUGCUGGGAGCAUAUUUUCCCUUGCCUUGGCCAUACUGAUGCAAGCUGGGUGCCACAGUGCAGAGGUCCAGGUCUAAUGCAAGUGCUUGCUAUAAUCUCCUCCUGACGGUGGUCAUGAAUCAUUCUUGAAUAAGUCUUCCACAGAAAUGGCUUUGACAUUCUGUUGAGUCAUCUGUGCAGUCUGGGAGGGUUUGCUGUGUGCUGGCUCCACACCUGCAUUUUCCAGAACAAGCCAGUGGGAAAUGGCCCGUGUAGUCACUCGUGGUGUCCUGCACUGCACUGCAGUACCAUGCACCAUUCUUGGUCAUCCCCCAUCUCUUUCCAAAGAAUGAGCUCAGUUAUCUCAAACCACUGAAG
RNAcentral lists this long non-coding RNA (428 nucleotides) under Zonotrichia albicollis (white-throated sparrow). RNAcentral describes it as "lncRNA (ENSZALG00000001078.1)". Lineage: Eukaryota; Metazoa; Chordata; Aves; Passeriformes; Passerellidae. The record is from RNAcentral.